CUCCACCUCAUGUUGUAGUUCCCUUCCCUAGAAUUGUAUGGAAGUUAGAACCUGUGAGGGUGUUUUGGUUCGGCCUGACGAGGCCUGUACCAAUUUCGGUGGUCAGCUUCGUAGUUUUGUGUAUAUAGAAAUUUGGAAAGGGGAGCAGUAUUAAGUUAUUUAUAAUAAAGUGAAAAGUUAUUUGUGAAUGAAGGGACAGAAGGAUCUUUUUGUGUGUGAGAGAUAGUUAUUAGGCCUUGUUCCAUGAUGGGGAGUUCAGGAUGUUGCAUUCCAGGCUUAUCUUUUAACAGUCCUAGGUGCUCCUUGACCCUAAGGGGAGAGAGGAAGAAUAAGAGAGAGAACACAUUUCACCCCCAUUUGUCGACCUACACCAUUAAGGCAGUACAGAGAGACACACUAACACACAGUACAGAGAAAGGAAAUAGAGAGUGUGUUCAACUGAAAGCGUGUGGUGGCCAUACGCCAUAAAAUUCCACAUAUCCAAGGAAUACAGGUAGAGCUCUGUUGAGUUUUCAGGCUUUGAUAAAUUUGUAGUUCCCCGUCUGCCAUGUUUGAAGUUCUCUGUAGUCUCUGUCCAUAGGUUUCACCUGAACAACCCCUCUGCUGGCCGAGAAAAGGAACUACCACUGGUUUCUCCCACACCCAGCCCCCGGAGCACGCGCGCUCUCAAGGCGUUAUGGCCGCACCCAACGUGGGAGGGAGACACGCAGAGAGAGAGAGAAGCCACAUUCCACCCUUAUCUGUUGUCUUGCACCAAACAGCACCCCGUACUGAGGAGGGAGAGAGAGCGUGUUCUCCUGAAGGAGGGAGAGAGUCACAGGGAGACACACAGUGGAUAUUCACAUUAUGGCUAAUUUGUUUAGUUUUAGUUUUGUUUUUUGUCUUCCUAGGACAACAGUUAUCAUUCAUGAUGAUGAACAUCGAAGUUCAUGAGGAGGUUAUAAGGACAAUAACGUUGAUACUGUUGUGUUCACAGCAGUUUGCUGUGUUUUUUCCACCUCCUGGGUCUGCCACUCCUCCUGUCUGUCUCACUUCACACCUGGACCUAUUCUGCAAUCAUGCUCACCUGGUCUUCAUCUCCAAUCAACUCCCCUUCAUAAACCCUUGGAUUCCCUGCUGUCGGUGCCAGAUCGUACUACGCACUACUGUGUUAUCCGGAUCCCUCACUCCAGCUCGCCUGCUUCGCUCCUUCCCCGGCAACCUCAUCCAAUACCCGCCUCCUCGCCUCGUUCAAUAAACCCUUUUUCCUUCAACUCAACUUCGUCUCCGUCUGCUCUUGGGUUCAGCAUCGUUUAACCAUAACAGAACGAUCUGGCCAAGAUGGACCCAGCGGACAUUGACAGCAUCCGUGGAGCUCUCGCCGCCCAGGGCGCUCUGGUUGCUGAGCACAGCAACGCCCUCCGGGAAGCUAUGGAAGCCUUUAAGAGUCUCGCUACCCGUGUCACACAGAUGGGCGCACAAUUGGACUUGCUGGUUCCCCCCGCCACUUUGCCUCCACUGCCUGUGGCGCCUCCGCCUGACCCCACUCUCUCGGCACACCUGCCACGGGCUCGUGAGCCUCUCAUUCCUGCCCCUGAGCGCUACGCUGGGGACAUGGGUACGUGCAGAGCUUUUUUGAUCCAGUGCUCCUUAGUUUUCAGUCAGCAGCCCCUCAGCUACCCCACUGAAAGAGCUAAGAUCGCUUUUGUUAUCGGGUCACUUAAGGGCAAUGCUUUAGCAUGGGCUUCAGCUUUAUGGGAAAGUGAUUCCCCAGUUAAUGAGAACUUUGGCCUUUUUGUAGCUGAAA
This is a long non-coding RNA of Gadus morhua (Atlantic cod), 1786 nucleotides long. NCBI's taxonomy places the organism in Eukaryota, Metazoa, Chordata, Actinopteri, Gadiformes, Gadidae. The record is from Ensembl.